Theobroma umbraticum is the source of this 2983-nucleotide non-coding RNA. NCBI's taxonomy places the organism in Eukaryota, Viridiplantae, Streptophyta, Magnoliopsida, Malvales, Malvaceae. The record is from RefSeq and is a predicted model, not a curated record.
CUGGUGGAGGCUUGUUUGCUUAACAGUCAACUCAUAUGCCUGCUGCUGAAUUUUGAACGGUAUGGAUCUUGUGCCACAUCACGCGACUUCGAAAUAUAUCAUGUGGAUGCUUCUUUUGAAGACCCACUCAUGUGUGCCCAUGGGUUUGUACUGAAACUUGAAAAUUUUGGUUUGAAGUGGAUUAUGGCUCUCUUGAUGAAUGGAUUAGAAUCAAGAUUCUUCUGAAUUGGUGCCUUUGAUGAGUCUUACAUAGAGUUUAUGCAUGCUAUUACACUUGGUUUUCAUCCACUUUAAGCAAUCACAAUUUUUGCUUUAUUUUUUCCAGGCUAAAUAUCCACAUUAGAAUUUAACCUUUAUAAAAUUUGCAAUCAAAUUUGGCAUAUCAGCUUACCAAAUUUGAUGAAUGUAGGAAAACAAAUGAACGACUUUAGUGACUGCCGUUGCUGUGAUUAAUGGCUGCCACAUGGCAAAAAAUUGGAUACAUGGAAUUGUCCAUGUGGCCAAAGUGUCCAAUGUGGCUGCUAAGUUGGAGUUUAUUGUUUUCUUGUUCUUUCUUAUCUCCUUAUUUGUUUAUUUAUUUUUUUUUAAUUUCCUUCUCUCUUUGUUUGCCACCAAUAGAUUUAGCCAGUGAGACAAACCCAGUACAUUUAGGUACUAGAUAUCUUGGUAAAAGUGUGAUUGUUGAUGGGAAAGCAAGGAUUUAAUGACAGCUAAUGCUCAAUUCCCAUAUUAGGUUUUUGUAAGGAAUGGCUUUGCUAUUGUCAUAGGCUAAAAACUAUUUUUGAAUCUCAUCUAAUAGUUUAAUAUUUUUUUUCUUGAAUAGUUAUUUAAUAAAUUAUGAGUAAAGAUCAGUUCUGGCAUUUGCUGUUAUUCUUAUGGACUGAGGACAUAGUAGUUCUCAACAUUUUAUUACAAUAAGUUGUGCUGAGUAUAUUAAUAGUAAUGCAACCAUGAUUUCAGAACAACUAAGAUAAGCUAAAUUAUUAGGGCAGCUCUACCAAAUCGUAGUUACUUCUUUGUGGUGAAGUAACACUUUCCUCUCCUACAAUGUUUUCAAAAGUGGCAGUGAAGGUUUCUUUUCCUUAAACAAGAUAUUUUGGGUUUUUCUCUAUUACAGAUAUAAUAUCUCAUAAGCUAAUUUCUAGAAUAUUUUUUUAGUUUAUGCAUACCCUUCAAGAUACAAGCAUUGUUUCUUUCAUGGCAUAAUUAGCAAAAAAGAAAUAAAUGAAUCUGCAAAACAAUUUUUUUUUUUUCUAUUUGCUUUAGAAAAUAUGUUUUGCAGCUCGCUUGGGAUUGAGUAUUGUGGGAAAUAAGUAUAGGAUUACUCGUUUAUGGAUUAGUUGCUUAAAAGUUGAAAGCCGAGUGAUAUUUAAUUUAAAGUGAACUAAUUUAGUAACUAAAUUGAACAAAUCUCUGUUCUUUAAAUCAUCUCAUUAGUAUAAUCUUAUAAUCUUUGUGAAUUUUUUAUUCUUAUAUGAAGCAGAUGGUGAUUGUGGAUGACAAAAUUGAUAUUAGUAUAUCUUUUUAACUUUUGAAUAAUGUUGAUUUAUAUAUUAACUCAUGGACAUUAAUACCUAGAUCUGCAAUUCCUAGUUGGGGGACCGUAAAUUUUUAGCAGACUUUGAUCUUUUGUUCACAAAAUUGGUUUGAAAGAUAAUAUGUCUUGUAAUUUGCAGUCCGACUGCUCGAUUACUAGCCUCCUCUUUGUUUUAACUUUUGACUUUAUCAGGUUAUAACACUAAAUAUCAUCUCAUUCUGCCUUACAUAAAUGUUAUGUUUGUUUCUACAGAGUGAAGCAGAUCAAAUCAGCAUUUUAUUCAUUGUCUAAGGUUUCAUCAACUCCUCUAUCACCUAUCAUUACCGUGGAUCUUUCAUCAUCUAAAAGAUAUUAAGCAAACAAUCAUCUUUUGUGCAUUGGAGGCCUUUCAACUGUGUGCCAAGAAUUUGAGCCCCUCCCCUUAAACCUUGCUAGUGACAUUCAUGCUAUAAGUUUUCAUAGCUGAGGCUAUUUGACAACAUGCUUCAAUAAAUCCCUGGCAUGACAGCAUUUUACUUUAGCUUGUUUAAUUUGUCUCCUCCCCUGUUUUGCUACCUUCCUAUUGUUAAACAGUAAUUAGAUUAAUUUGGUAUAAAGCUUAUUCAUUGAUUUUUUUUCAUGUGUUUAGGUUUAGCAUGGAGACAAAACAAACAUAAAUAAGUGAUUGCUAUCAUAUUUCAUGUUCAUGAUGUUUAUUUGCAAAAAUAUUUACUGUCAAAGCUGCUAUUUUAUGUGAUAGGAGAGGUUUUAUGGAAACUGUCUAUUACCCCAAUGAAGACAAAACAUAUUACUUCUUUUUCCCUAUCUUUUAUUUCUUUUCUGAAUCCAAUUCUAAAUGCACGUGUUAACUGGACAAAAUUCAUCACAUUGUUGUUCUAGAGAGAUGGUGUGAAGAAAAAAAGUUAAUAAUCUUCUUUUAAAUAGCUUCUCUCAAUCCUUGUGAUAACAAAAUUUUGUUUUUUAUAAACCUGUCAGGUUUUUAGUGAAUCAAGAAUUGUUGAAUAUAGUGUCACAGAGAAAGUAAUUUCAGAUGGAAAGCAAGAGCUAGAGGUUGCUUGAUGGUGAAUCCAGAUAUUAAUUGACAGCAAGCAACAUUACAAGUUCUUGGGGAGAAACAUAGAUAUGAUAUCACUGAUCAGGCUGUAUGUUGAGGAUGGGAAAGUUGUUCGUCAUGAAGAUUGGUGUGCACCAAACACUCAAACUUUGUGGUAUUUCUUGCAGUUAAGCAAAUAUUCUAAUUCGGAAUUUGGGAUCCAUUUUUCUACAAAAUCAAAAAGUUUAGAAAAUGGAAUAUGGAUUGCAUAACUUUGAGGUGGGACAAAAAGCCUCUUCGGAACAGAGAAACAGGUAAUCUGCCACUUGUUGGCCGAAUUAUGGAACUUACUCGCAGAGGUUCAAUGCUAGCAACUCAUGCUUUGAUGGGUUUUGGGAAGGACCCAACAGGAU